UCUCAACAGCCGCUUCCAUCCUUGCGCUUCUCAAAACUUUUUUUUUCAUCGCUUCCUUUAGAUCUCGCUUCUAUGGCGGCGAAUCUUUUAUUUAUAGCUUCUGUUUGUAAUAGCGAGUCCUCCGAUCUACACAACGGUGUUGAUUUUCCAUCGAUUUAAUCGCUUCUAUGUCUUUCAUCGGUAGAUCUGAUGCAGAUCUCAUGAAAUCUAUACUUCCUCUAAGGGUAAAUCUUAUCUCAUGUCACCGUUUGUUUUUUACUUGAUUUUGGUUUCUGAUCACGUUUCUUUUUUACUCUGGUGUUAGAUCUGCCGGUGGGAUCAUCGCGUGAGGGGUGUCUAUUAUGCAAAUCGGUUGCGUUGAAGCGCGUUGAGGCUGAAUCGAAUUCGUUUAUGGACGUGAAGCUGUGUUCUUGUGUGGGUUAAGUUAAAAUUAGGAUGUAGAAGAUGUUGAAUUGCAUCUUUUGUCAUCCGACCUUUGCCAUGUCAGGUGCGCUUGCAUGGCAGGUCAAAAACAGAUCUUAAUAAAACAAUAUGUUUUGUGGUUGGGAGGGGAGUUCGCACGGGUGUUUUUUUUUUAUCCCGGGUUCUCCUCUUCCUGUGUGCGUGUCUUGCUCUCUGCGAAAUUUCACACUAUUUAUUAUUAUGCACCGUAACUCAACAGAUAGCCAUGAAACACUUAUAUCUCAUUCGACCUGGAGCUGUAACACUUUGCGCCAUUCAUGCCCCACCCAACAAGCAUGCGCUCGUAAGUAUGUUAUUUUUGAUAAUUUAGUCACUCAGAAUAAUAUCCAAUCACACCCAUGCAUAUUAACAAUCAUACGUACAUUAAUCAUUACUUCCGUCAUGAAUUUUACAAAUUCGUUGCCCAAAUUUAUUGGGCCAACUAGUUACUUUUCAUUCUAUUAUUUGUUUCUCUUUUUUGAGUGAAUUGACAAACCCUACUGAUCUAAAAGCUUUCUAUGCUGUAGACAGUAUUUUUUUAUUUAUAUUUCUAAGUUUAUAAGUAUCUGUUUGAUUUAUAUAGUUAGAGAACAUCACAAGAUUAUGUAUCCGAAAUUUGAUGGCUGAAGGGUGAGAAUGGGAUAUCAUAUUAGCUUGUGGAGCAAUACAUUGGAAGCUAUAGCGUGGAGCAGUGUGAAUACAACAGCUCUUUGUAGACUCAUCCUAUAAAGCUUAUUGUAAAUGAAGGUAUUAAAAUGCUGUGUGUACACAUUGAUUAAUUUCCUUAACAUAUAUCGAAGUGUAUCCAUUAUUACACUCCAUGUUUUCAUUUUGUUUUGAUGUGAAUAUAUUUUUGCCGAUAAUUCACUAAUAAAAUUGAUAUUAUUGUUUAAAAUUUCUUCUCCCAUGGUAGUUUUAUCUUUUCAAAUUUUUGUUCUGUCCGCAAGUGAAAGGUUACUUGAUCGUGUUGCUAAGUAUAUGAACAGUCUGUUUGUCUUGCCAUGAGCACAUUUUGAGUUUUCAAGAUUCGAUAAUAGAUCUGUAAGCUCAAAACGGGAGAGCGCUCUUCUUCUUUUGAAGUUGAGAGGUUGGUGGUUCGAGUCCACCCAGAUUUGCUCUAAUUUGCUUUUUAUUGUAAUUUCUAUGAAAUGUUCCAAUUCUUGUCAUUUCCCUGAUGGCCUGAUCUACUUAUUAAAUCGAUCGAUCAUUAAUCUCAUUUUUGGUAGCAACAGUGCAGCGUAUUUGAUGGACAACGUUUCUUCCAAUUUAUCGCUUCUUAGUAUUCUGUCUCUUCCCGACGAAAUAUUUGGAUUGUUAAACAGGACGUGGCCUGGAGUUUUGGUACAAGAGGACGUGGCCUAGAGUUCUGGUAUUUAAGUUAUACCUACUGCUUCACUACAACACGAAAUGAGUCAAGAGUCUCAUCGACUUAUCUUUACCUUUUAUCAGGACGAGUUGCAUUCAUUAUUGGGGAUGGUUUCUGUUAUAAAAGAAUGAACCAUAAUAACGUACUCCGGCAUUCAUUAUUGUAGUAGUAGGGCUUUAUACACUAAGCGAUGGAAAAAAGUUGCUUAGAAGAGGAGCCAAUUUGCCGUGCCGAACGAGCUCCAGAUCAGAAGCUGAUCUUGAAUCACAAGCUGAAGACUUCCAUUCACCAAAGGGCUAGAAAGGUGAGAGUGUUGUCGUAUUAAUCUCAAAUCCCCUCGGUGAGUAAUUCAUUGCCAUUGGUUGUUUCAUUGUGCUAAUUGUAUCAUAGAUCACAAACCAAGAAACCGCAUCCACACUGAUGAAGAGGCUCUAUUAUCAAGAGUGUGGUCUGUAAAAAACGGAAGCAGAAGCUCUGAUGCAGAGAUAGAAUACAAAAGAGGGCGAAGAUUAAAAGAUGACAGAUACAGGAGAGCCUGAUCAAGAACAACAACAAAGCCAGCUUCUAUCUUUGUUUUUAAGGUCUUCUAAUUAUUAUUAUUUUUUUUUUUUUUUUUUUUUAAGGUCUUCUAAGUUGGCAAAAAGUAUUUAGUAUAAUUUCCGGUGAUGCUAACUCUUGAGAUAAGUAUCUAGUUUUGAGACUAAUAUCAUCAAUAUAUCAUUAGAUGGUUUCUAGCAGAAUGUGUGUCAUACAUAAUUGGACCAAUGAAGUACAUACAACAUUUCAAGACACGAGUUGAGCAUGUGCAAUCAAAGAAUACGACAACUACAGUAUAAGAGACUUAAAUCUGUGUUUGCUUACAUGGAUGCAAACACAGACGGUCCAGAAGAGCUUAAGAAGAGUUUCAACACAUUGGGAGAGAAACUUUCUGCUGAAGAAGAAGCUGAAACCGCGGUUAAACUGUUUGGGUGUCGGAUUUUGAGGAGUUUGCUCAGUUAAUCAAAGGGAAUGAUGAGUUUACAGAGGAACAGAUCAACAGCAAGAUGAUGGAAUGUAUAUCGCUGAAGGAGAAGAUUGCAUUGCUCCAAGAAGGUUGAAGACGAUGCUGGAACGAGUGAUGAUUGCAUUGUCAUGAUCAAAGCUUUUGUUCUUAACGCUGACGGAGUUUUAAGCUUUGAUGAGUUCGCUCAUAUGAUGAUGCGUUUAAGAAUCAGCCCACCAUCCACUGUUGUUGUGGCUUUAUUUGUGUAAAUAAACACGACUGUUAUUCCAUGUACCUGAAUCAUGCUCCAUUGUCAAAGCAUCUAUAAGAGGGAAAAGAAAAAAAAAACAGAACACGAACUGCUCUGUUCUGAAAUUGAAUUUCAGUUUUAGAGUUCUUAGCUAAUGGGGAUGUUGAACAGUCCUUUGAAAUUGCCUAGAGCCCUUUGUUGGGUGUUUAAAUUUUUUUGACUUAUCCAUAUCACACUGGAGAACAUUAGUCUCUUGUUUCCGCAUCACAGACCAAAGGACAUCUGUUACCAUCUUAUAGUUAAUGCCUAGCUCUGCAAACUCUCUUUAUAUGCAAGUCGAUGAGACUUGGUGAAUUGAAGAGAGUUACAAUAACUUUCCGCUCUGGAGAAGUAUAUCAUUGACCGGUUCAAACUUUCUUUCUCGACAACUAAUAAAAAAAUGUGACCUCAAAACAAUUUUAAAAACCAGAUUCAUUUUCCAAACUAAAUUAUUAAACCCUUACCAUUGCAACUGAAGUUAUUUGAUUUAGUACAAGAUCAUUUUUAUUCAAUUCAGAUGCAUCUAAACUAAAAUUAGUGUUGAUAAUUCAACAAUAACACAAUAAAAUGUUACACAUCUGCUAUCUAGUGUACAAAGUUGGAUAAAUCUAACAAUCAAGAUCCCAGGAUUAAAACCCAAAGUACUUUGCCAAAACCAAAACUGUCCCACUCUCUGGUUCUUACAGGAGCAACUAAAUGUCCAAAUCAUCAUCAGGGUCCUCAUCAGAAUCUGGAUGCUCAUCGUCUGAAUCUCUGAAAUAUAUAAUCUCUCCACCCUUACCAGAUGAAACCACAUCGGCCUGCAACUCUCCUGAAGACAAUGGCGUUGCCUCAGUCUUGCCAUCCGCAAGCAUUCUCCGCCCAUCAUAAAUCUCUGUCGAUUUUCCAUGAUCUGUAGAACAUCACAUCAAAAAUGUUUUUAUCCACAAGACCUCAGACAUUAAUGAGCUUAAAAUUAUCCUGUCUGUGAUGUACGAACUCACCUUGGUGCUCAAAAGGAAGGACAACUUUUUCUUUCUCAAAACGUUCUUUCUCAGACAACUGUAGAUUGAAAUGAACCUGAACCAAAAGAACCACUAAUCUGAGGCCACACAUCUUAACAGCAAAGAGAUAAGAAGAAACUAAGAAAGAACAAGAUAACUUGCCUUAGGUAUAAGGCUUUUGGUGGCUGCAAUAAUAGUUUCCACGGAGGAAAUGGGUGAAAAGUUUAUGCCCGUUUGAUCAACAUGAUACUCUUCAGACUGUAAGGCAAAGCGUUACAAGGGUUGUUAACUCAAAUAUGAUACUCUCAAAUAGGGUAUAGAGAAUGGAGCAAGAGAGAACACUCACCAUUACUCUGACGCGUCCCUUUCUAAGCUUAAACCGGAUAUGGAACCGUCCUUUACCAAAAUCCUGAUGAACCAAAAAGAGGUUUUCCAAGGCAUUCCUUUUCCCAUCCGAAGAUGGACAAAAAGGUUCUAAGUUGGCUUUCAUGGUGGAUAUAUAUUCAAGCGCAUUGGUAACCUUCUCUUGGUGAAGGUCAGUGUUCAACGACCAAAACAAACUGGAAACUUGUGCUACACCAAACAAAAUUCAACUUAAGAAGGAAAUAAAGCUAACAAAAUGGUGAGUGCUCAGGUUCAGGUAGCAAAGAAUGUAAAUAUACCGUGGCUUCGAAGAUCUGUUAAAAGACCAGAAACUAAUGGCAUGGAUGAAUGUCUUAGCAGCUCAUUCACCUGAUUCAACCAAAUAUAUAUAUAUAUAUAUAUAUAUAUAUCAUCAUUAAUCUCAUAUCUAAAACUCCAAAGAGAGGAUUUGCUUACCGAAUCAAUGGCAACAGAGAAACGUGUCUUCCCAUCUCCAACCAUCUCUACAGCAAAAGGAAUCAACUUUAAUCUCAAAUUGAAACAAAAUGAUGCAAAGAAGUAAUAGAACUACCUCUUCCAGCUUCAAUGAUUGAAGAGAAAAGCCUCUUCAAGUCACUAACACACUUGUGUAACUUAAUUAAACUUGAACCUUCAGUAAUAACACCAGGGGAAGGCUGAUCAAUCCAGCCUAGUGGAUCAGUGUAGCAAUCCAAAACACGAAUCCUUCAAAAUCCAAAAAACCAAUCAGUACACUCUUAGAGUAUCUAAAAGAAAAUCAAAUCAAACUCACCAUUUAGAGGAUGAAGAGACAAAGAUUCCUUUUUGCUUCAAGAACUGCAAAUAGAAGGAAGGGCUCCGAGAGAAUGUGACCAGCACGAGGCCUCUGCACAGCAACGAAGAUUUCAUGAAAACACGACAGUGAAGCAAAAAGAGAUUGAAUUUUAGUGUUUCGAGGAUGUACUCGGACUUGGAUUUUCCGGCCAGGAUUGAUGAAGAUAGAUUCGCGAGGAGAUAGCAGGAGACGUCGAGGGCGAAAGGGGAAGCUACAGUUUCCUCUAUGGUGAGAGCUGGCGCGAGCUCGCCUUCUUCGCCUCCGUCUCUUAGCUUUCUGAAAAUCGAAUCCGCCAUUGCUGAGAAAAAGAAAAGCUUGGAACUUCAAAAGGUGAUGAGAAGGGCGGCGAGGGAGCAAGAUUACAACUUAAAAGGCUUUUUGGGCUUUAUGACUUAGCCCAAAUGGGCUUCAUAAGUAUUCGAUGUCAAGCAAACAGCGUGUCGUCUCGUUCUUAACGGCUAAAAACGUUAACCGUUUUAUCCGUCUUUUAGGAUUUAUAAAAUAGCCCAAUGGGCUUCUUCUUAAGCACUCAAUGUCAAACAAAACAGCGUGUCGUUUCUUCACGCCUAAAAAACAUCAACCAUUUUAUCUGCUUCUCAACAAAAUAAAAAGAAGGUUUUAAGGCCGGAGGAGUUGGGGAGUGAUCUGGAUCCGCCGGCGAACAAGUAGCACCGUCGCAAUAUCCUCCUUUCAUUUCGCCGGAAUCAAGGUACAUAUUGUUCUUCUAUAUGGAUCCCUCGCUAUUUUCUUCUCCUUGCAAUGAACCAUUUGCAAAUCUUUUGUGCUUCUUUCUCAUUUUGAUUUCGAUAUCGAUUAGAUUGGGGGAGAAGUAGAUGUGUUGUUUUGAAUUGGGUUAAUUGGAUUUGUUUUGCAUUUGUACUCUUCUCGUAAUAUUGCACGGAAAGUGUUCGACGUAUUUACUUGUUAACUCAUCACUUCCUUAGACAUGUUUAGUCAACUUUGAUUCUUUGUGUGAUUGAGAACUAGAGAGACGAAGGCUGCUGCCUUUCUGUGUCUAUGAGAUUUGAUCUAAGCACCCUUUUGUUUUCUAAUUGUAAAACCCUUUUUUCUUACAAAAAACUUGGCGAUUCAGACAAGUUAAAACAUUUUCUCUGCUUUAGACAGGUACUUCUUGUGGCGAGCAUUCUUUGUAGGAAAAAAAAACGGGAAGAUGGAAGCAAAGUUCUUUCGGUUCUUGAAGAUUGUUGGAGUUGGAUACAAAGCCAGAGCUGAGGAAGCAGGGCGUUUCUUAUACCUCAAACUGGGUUACAGUCACGAAGUUGAACUCGCGGUUCCUCCGGCUGUUCGUGUCUUCUGUUUCAAGAACAAUGUGGUUUGCUGCACUGGAAUCGACAAGGACAGGGUGCAUCAGUUUGCUGCGACAGUUAGGAGUUGCAAACCUCCUGAAGUUUAUAAGGGCAAAGGCAUCAUGUACAUCGACGAAGUUGUUAAGAAGAAGGUUGGAAAGAAGUCGAAAUGAUCUUUCCUUUCCUUUUUCUAUGCUUCUUACCAUUCUCCUUUACGGAGAACUUUGGUGAUAGAUUUGGGAUUUGCUUAUCAGUAAUAAGUUGUACUUGGAUGUAUGAAACAUCAUUUUGUUGUUAAGUCACUUUGAAUCAAACAAGAUUAGAAGAUUUUGUCUUCAAACGUAAAUGUAUGUUUGUAGAAUCAUUUGGUACAAUUAAAUCCGAAAGACAAGCUAAUAUGGGGAGACAUGAAGUCUCUUGAGUAGAAUCAAGACAGUGGUAAUAAAUAGACAGGUUCUAUAUGUGGUGUGUCUGGAAAAGUGAAUCUUCGGUACUUGAGGAGCACAAAAAUUAAUCAAGCAUGUAAAUUCUGGAGGCAAUGUCUUGAACCAACCAAUCGAAUCCUUCCAACAAUCCUUCACCUGUGUAUGCGCUGCAACCCACGAUUUUCCAGUGCCUGCUCUUAUCCAUGGACUCUAAGUUUAGCACCUGCACAAGCAAGAAGAUGAAACUCUGUUUAGCACAAAGUACAACACAAACAUAUCUCACUUCACCCACUAAUCCUCAUUGAAACUAAGUAAAGUACCUCUUUAGAUUCAAGGCUCAUAUGACUGAGAUUGAUUUUUUUCAUUUAUUCUUUUGUUUUUUACACAAAUCAAAAAUAGAAGCACUUGAUGUAAAAAACUUUUUUCUCUGAAUAAAUUUUACAUUCAUUAGAAAAAAGACAUAAGAGUUUCAAAACACUUACUUUGCCAAUCUCUUCAGGUGUAAGAGCACCUUGAAUAUCCUGCUUGUUUGCUAGUAUCAACAAAGAUGACCCAGCAAGCCUCUGCCCAUUAAAACCACCAAAAGUCAGUAUCCAAAACUCAUUCAACCAUUUGUAUAUAGAUCAUCAUCAUCACAAACAGCAACCAAGCAUCACAUUGCAAAGUUUGAUACCUCUUCCUUCAAGAGAUUGUCAAGCUCCAUCUUGCAAUCAUCAAGCCUCCUAAGAUCAGAGCUAUCCACAACCCAAACCAACCCAUCAGUCUGCUCAAAGUAGUUCCUCCAGUAAGAUCUUAUAGUCUUUUGCCCACCCACAUCCCAUAUAUUCAGCGUAUACCUACAAACACAUUGCCCAUAACAUGUUUGAUGAUCUAUUCCUCAACCAAGAACAUGAAAACUACAAGCAGUUGUUACUUUUGGUAAAUAAUGGUUUUGAUGUUGAAUCCAAGAGUUGGACUGAUCACGCUUGUGUCUUCUCCGUUCAUCUUCAGAACUAUCGUCGUCUUCCCAGAGUUAUCGAGUCCACUACAAACACACACAGCACCAGAUCAUCAAACUAGAGAAAUGUUUAUAUAUAGAUCAGCGGAAGAGUUUACAAGAUUGUGAAUGUGACAUACACCAUGAGAAUACGCAUCUCCUUCUCCUUCUUCUUGAUUUUCCGAAUGAUGCUUAACAGUCCCAUUUUCUGUUAACUCGAAUCACACAACAGAGCUUGAAAGACUCUCAACCAGUCACGCCGAGGCUAUCGUCGACGUUUUUCUUCCACCGGCGACCUCCGACGGAUAAGAAAAUUUGCAACGAACUGUAUGGGCCCUUCUUCUUAUAAAAUAAGGCCCAUUAAUAAUAAGAAUAGGCCUUAUUCUACACGAGGAGUAAAACUGGACGGUAAGUUAUCUAGAAAGUCAACCGGUCAAACUCCAUGAUAAAGAAAACGAAUUUAAACGAAAAAAGGAAAAGAUAACCGAACCCAAUCGGAUCUUGAACCUUUUGAGGGAUCUUUUGCUUUGUUUUGUUGUUGUUGGUUAUUUGGCUGACAUUCUCUUUGUUUUUCCUUCAUUUUUGUUGUUUCAAUGUUGGAUAAGGUAUCAUACAGGACGGAACGAUCACUUUUAAAAAUCGGUGUUGGUAUAUUAGAUCAUUAAAUUACCCAGUUAAAGGCUUAUAUAAUUUUGGAUGCAUGUAUAACGAAGAAGACUCAAAGGAAGUUAAAAAAACUACUGAGAAAUUUGAUUCAGACAAUCGUCUGUCUAUCAAUUUUUUUUUGAUUAAUAAUGUAGAUUGUUUGUUUCAAAUUUUUAUAUAUUUAUUUAUUAGUUUCAAACCCGAUUUUUUAUUUUGAUCUAUAAUGAGUUUUUUUUUAACUGAAUAGAAUUCCUCCUAAAUGUUUUUAACCUUGAUAGAAAGCCUAACAAUUUCGUUUAUGUUGAUCACUUUCAGCUGAAUUACAUCCAAAACAAAUCUUGAAUGGAAGCCAAUGAAACAUGUCAUUCGGGGCCGGAGAAAACUAUGUUUUAUGGGAUCAAUAAUAAUAGAAAUUUUUCGUAAAAAAAAACAAAAAUAAUUCAUGUAAGUCUACUAGUAACAUCGGUUGCUAGUGUAUUUACAGACUUGGGUUCACAAGUCCACAACUGUGUUUUAAUAUUUUUAAGAUUUUUAGAAACAAAAAGCAGAAAUUUUAAUUUUGACUUCUAGGCCAAUAUCCGUUUUGGCUUUGAUUAAUGAAUAUCAUUUUUAUUGGUACUAGAUCCUUUCUCCGCGCUACGCGCGGAAAAUAUAUUUAAAUUUGUUACAUUUAUCAUUUUUAUUUGUAUGUGAAUUUUUGUAUAUUAAAUUAUAUAUAACUAAUUUUUAAAUUUGAUUUUUUUUAUAUUUUUAGUUUGAAGUAAGUAUUUCUAUUAUAUGUAAUACAAUUAACUAACAAAAUAUGAUGAAUCAAGUCCGAGAUUUUAGAGUUAUGUAAAAAAAUAUAUAAUUAUGUAUAGAACAUAAAUUAUCUUAGUUUAAAAGAUCGGAAUCUCAUCUCGAAUAAAUUCACGCAAAGAAAAAGUACUCCAAUAACCUACUUAAAAUAUAAAACCCCCUUUUAAAAAAAAACGUACUUAAUAAUAUUUUUUUACGUGUAAUAGUUGAAAACUGAUAAUUGAAUGUCGAUCUAGAAUAUUAUUUUAAUAUAUCUAAUGGUAAAAUGUUAAUUGUAAUAAACAAAUUUUGAAUUUUGUAAUAUUACAUGAAUUAGAAGUCUUUAAAAUCUAAAAUCUAUUUUAUUAACAUAAUAUAUUUUUAUUCAUUUAUUAUUUUGACGUUACAAAAUAUUUGCUUUAGUUUUAUUUGUAUAUUAAUUUUUUAAUAAUUUAGUUUCUUAAGUAAUUUUAAAAUUAUCAAGAAUGUAAUAUAUGUAAAAUUAUUUAUUUAAAUAUAUCCAAAUAUGAUGUCUCUUUUUUAUGUGUGUUUGCUUCUCUAAUUUUACUUGUUUUAGUUAAGUAUUUUGUUAAUAUUUAUUUUCAUAUUAAAGAUUUAUUUUUAUAUUAUAUGUGAAUCAUUAUUCGGUAGUUACUCUUAUUUAUUUUUCAUGACAUCCGUCAAUUGACUUUUUAAAAAUAUUUAAAUUUAGUUUCGUUGAGUCAUGUUAAAUUUGGUAAUAAGGUUUUUAUAAUGGUUUAAUAUGGUUAAGCUCUAUUUUUUCUUAUUUUCACGGGUCAAAAUUUUAAUAUAAUUUAUAUGCUUUUUCAAAUUAUUUUAUAUUGCGUCUCUCUUGUUUUCGUGUUGUACUAAUGCUAGAUUAUUUUAAAAAAAAGUGAAAUAAAAAUUUUCUAACUUUAGCAAUCCCUUGCUUAAUGUGCUACUACUUUCGAUUUUCUAAUUCCCAGAUUUGUAACUUGAGUGAGGAGAAAGACUUGUGGUUGUUAUGGCUUGCAAACGUAUAAAACAAAAUAUUUAAAAAACAAAAAAUUAAAGACUCAUUCCAAUAAUGCCCUUUUAGAAGAAAAAAAGAUUCAUUUCAAUAUGUUAGGAAAUUAUUUGUGAUUUUUUUUAUUGGUGGGUUAUAUAAAUAACCAAAUUUUAAAGUCUGUUCUUAGUUUUAGAUUGUUUUUCUAUAUGAAUUUCAGUGGUAUUUUUUUGGUGUCAUACAAACAACUAACUUUUUCUAUCUUCUUUUUCUAUAUGAAAAUCAAAAACCCUGUCAACAAAUUGAUGUUUUUAUUUUGUUUUUUCCAGAGUUGAUUAAUUAUUAAGAUCUCAUUCUUACAGCAGAGAAUGAGGAUCCUAAACAAUCACUUAGAAAAAGAGAUGAGUUUUAAAUCAAGGUGGUAUUAGUGUUAUCCUAAACAAAGACUUCACCAAACCCACAUAUGAUUGAUUGCAUAACCCUCAUUAUCAACAAAGUGAUAGUAAAGAAAAAUAAUGUUAAUACAUGAAUAAUAAACAAAGCUUUAGUGAGUCUGAAAGUUAAGCACUUAGCGAGUCAUUUCUUUUUCUUACUACAGCAUGGCAAUAGCUGACUCCUAAUUUAAACUGAUGGAAACUUUCUUGCCUAACAAAAUUCCAAAAAGAUGAGUAGAAAAUUUUGAGUUUCAUAAUUAUUAAUUAAAAAAGUUACUACAAAUGAUAAAUAAAAUAGACAACAUAUCUGAUUUGUUUCCCAUGCGAGCUACAACAUAUACAAUAUCUAUCUACGUAUACUCCCAUUUCUUUAUGCUUAAACUACAUUACAAAGCAUUCAACUCAGCUCUGAAAAUGACAGUUAUGAGAAAAACUAUGGUAAAGUUAGACCAUUGGUUCACCUGAUCGAUACAGUAUUCUGCGAUCACAUCAUUACAGCCGGCGUCUUCUAGAAUCGACACUGAAGAUUUUUUCACCGGGAUUAGAGUUUGACAAAAGGUUUUGACAGACACAGAAACAUAUAUCAUUGACAAAGAACAAACCAUCACAUAUGCUUGAACGUCAUGGAAUGUACUAUGAAAACUCAGGAGAUGGAGCUUACGGCCUCCUACAGUAGUCGCUGAUGGGCACUUUUCCAACUGGUUUGAGCUAUUUGAAGAAAGUCCUGAACAAACUACCAACUGGUUUGUACUGUCUCGAGUUAAGGAUUCACUGAUAAACUACCAACAGGAGAAAUGGAGAUAAAGCUUAGAUACUUAAAUGUGCAGGGUGGUGUCACAUCUGUGAAUGGCGUCUAGGGUAAUGUUUUGUGGUGCAAGACGCUUCUCCUGCAAAAGAAAACAAACAACUCUUCUUUCAGUUGCAACACAAAACUCAUCUCACGUUUGUUACACGUCUUUAUUAUCUUUAACACUUACAAUUUCAGACAGCAGUUGUGACUCCGUGAACUAAAUCAGUUCCAAACAUUCACAAAGCUUGAAGAUUCUUGCUUAGGAGGUUUAAGAUUCCUUUCACUUUUUUCUCUCGCUUCCUCUUCCUCCUUAGAUACCUCUCUGUUUCGCCGUUGAACGACUCCUGUCACUUUAGCUUCCUACUCCACUCAUCGGAAAGAACCAGUAACUAAUACAAAAAGAUAACGAUAACUACCCAAACUCAGUGAAAUAUCUUCUCAAAGCUAAAACAAAACACACACACACACACACACGAUGUAAGAGCUUAUCCACUGAAACUUUAGAAACUUUGAAGAAUGGAGAUAGUAACUUACAUGAAAACGCCAGCAGAAUAGAAGGGAUUGAUUGAUCAACUUGAACAUAGGAGCUUCAGACCGAAGCUUGUUGUUAGUUUCCGGAUCGAAGAGAACCAUGAUGUUCACUUAUGUCGAAUCAAGAAAUGAAAAGAGCAAAGUAAGCUUAAUAAAAUCUGAUUCAAGGGAAGAUAAUAUUUGAUAGGAGAUUACCUUCUUAUGUGUUCCACCUCCAGAUUUGUUGGGGUUUAGAGGAUGGUAGUGGGGCCUUUUAUUUCUUUGGUGUCUUGAAUCAGCAAGAAUUAUCAUCAAGAGCUUUCUUCAUAUACUUUCUCUUCAAAAUGGCUUCGAGUAAACUUUUCUCUGAAGAGCAUAUACUUUGCCUAAACCAAGUCUUUUGCUUUUAUCAUUCCUUGGGCAGUUUCACCUUUAACCAAGAGCUCAAAUAAUAUCUAAAAAAAAUAAUAGCAAUGAUCCAAAACGAAAAAGAUGAUAUCAAUCUUUAGAAGCAAGGUAAACACCAUUGACUGAAGGGUCUCUCAUUGUUAAAAAAAGCAAUAUCACUCAUUAGCAAAUUUGUCGGGAAAUUUAAUUCAGCACCCUUGCCAAUAACUGCAGCAAAAUAGAUGUAAGCCAUUGAUUCCAAAAAUAUUUUGCACGUCUUGGUAUGAAUCAUAAUUAUAUAUAUCCACACAACCCUUAUUUAAAGUCACAUUUCUUUUGCUCUCACUGGUAGUUUCCUAACCAAACUCUUGAGCAUAUGGGACUUACAUUGGCAUCAUUUGCGAGGAAGAACACAUGUUAAGUGCCUACACCCAUGGCCUCGUACGUCCUGCCCUUUUCUUCAGGAAGCUCCAGUAAAGAAGCUCGGAUGCUAUAAUUGGGCGAGUAUUACUUCUGGAAGAAAUGGAUAUGAAAAUUAUUGGUAAUCAGUGAGCUGUUUUUCCUCAUUAUUAUUGUUUUCUGAAGUCCUAUACUCAAGCUAGUUGAUAGGUGAUAUAAUUGAAAAAAAAACAGAUAUAGAUAUUGCGACAUUAGAAAAGAUUAUUUAACUUGCUACCUGAGUUUCUUCUUCCCAAGAUCUGGUCGGCUGGCCCUGGUAAUUUUCACCUGUGAAACGUCAAAUCAUCAACCAAAUAUAGUACAAUGAAAAAAGGAUGAGCUGAUCAUAUCUCUUCACAGGUAAAACUCAGAAUAUACAAACGACAAAGAAAGAAAGAAACUUGUUGACCUUGGUGUUAAACUUGGUUUGCAAAAUUGCAGGACUGAGAUAUUAACAACUCAGCGGGCACCUUCUUCCAUAUUCACAUUACUGACUACCAAAUACCCUGCAAUCCAUUGCAUCUCACUGGCAUAUCCAGUGGCAUCGAGCCCACUUUUCUUAUGAAGUCAGAUAUAAUAUGGAAUAGGGUAAUUCCGGCUUUGGAAAAAAAUCAUGUAAAAGAUCCACUCAAUAGCAAGCCUGAUAGAACCUGAAGCAAGGAAACCAAUCCAAUGAUCUCACACUGAGAUCAAUCAAAAUCUACCCACACAAAAACAUCAUAACCAAUCUAAGAAUAGGCUAACAAUGGACUCAACUUACAUCAGACUCUCUUCAAUAUCAGCUUCCAUGUGUUUAGUGAUCAUCUUGAGCUUCCUCAUAAGCGCUUAUUAUAGAGUUUUGAAGCUUCUGUCCACUGGAAGCAGCAGUGUACCGUUGAUUGCGCAGAUGAUGUCUCCUGCAAGAACAUUAAAACGAUGUCACUUUCCACCAACCAAAAUCGAAAAAGGUGAGAUCUUUGUAGAAAGUGAGAGAGAGACUAAAGAUUGGUGUGUUUUUGAUACUAAGGUGAGGCAAAGGAUCAGAGGAGGAGACAUGAAUCAGAGCAAGCGGAGCUCCCCUAACUCUGAGAAGAAGCUUGUCUCCUGGUGAUAAUCAGCAUCACCAAAUCGAUCGAUUCAAGCCACUGUUUAGAGUAAUAUAAGUAAGUACCUGUGAGAAAACACGAAUCACGUUAGCAAAGUAAGUCGCUAGAACCAGAUCGACAUGACGUUUGUUGGUCCCCAGCAACAACAUAGGGAUGCUACAAUGACUAUACCUCCAACCACUCCAAACAGUUUCUGCCUAAACCCAAACUAUUUGCUGAGAAAAUCAAUGUAUUAAACCUAAAAACACCACCAAAAAAAGACUCAAACUUUGACUUGCAAUUAUAUACACAGAACAUAAGGCUACCACCUUUACCUCUGUUUGGUUCGAACUGUUCUUGUCCACGUCAAUUUUGCGACGCGACGGCGGAAGAUUCCUCCUCGGAGGAUCCAGCGACACCGCAUCCGUCGAGAACCCUACUCCUUUACCGCACCAAACAUCAGAAACCGUGGAUUCUAGCCUUUCGCAUCUUCACGGAGGCCAUGGCGAAGAAGAACGGCGGAGAUCCGAACUUCAAAUACGGUUGGUACAUGGUUAGGUGAUGAAAUUAAAACAAACAAUUGGAUUGAUCUAUUGUUGGUGACUUUGACAUAUAUAAUCAUGAAAGAUGGAGGAAGUACGGGAGAUGAGAAGACAAUCUCGACUGAAGAAACGGGAAACGUUUUUGUAUGAGGAGGAAAGAUGAGAAGACGGUAGAAAUAGAGACAAAGAACAACAUGAAAGAGAAGGGAUUCAUCGUUUGGUUUCUCAGCUUCUCAGAUUAGGUUUCGUGGGCUAGACAAAUCAAACAAAACAGAUCAAAAAUAUAAAGAAAAACCCAACAAUACCCAAGAUCUGUGCUGAUGUGGCAAAAAGCAAACUUUCUAUUGGUCGAUUAUUUAGUCCAACGUGGAUAGCUUCUCUGUUGAUUAGAUUCAGCUUUUAGUAUUGUAUUGAUACCAAGAUAUAAACCAUCCUUAGAAUUAACAUAUCUUUAUAUAUAUGUCAGCAUUUGUUGUUGUUUUUUGUUAAUCGCAAACGCAAAUCGCAAAGGCAAAUGAUUUUUUCUAUUUAUUUGCAUAUAUAUAUAUAUAUAUAUAUAUAUAUAUAUAUAGUUUACGAAAAGGUGACAAUCUACAUGACUGAAUAUUUUUAUAUUUUUGCGUAGUAGUUACUUAUUUGGCUAUUUUAAAAUUUGUAGUUCACUAAAAGAAACAUACGGAAAUCCCGAGAAAACCCAAGGAAUUAUCAGUUGGAAAUGCAUAUGGGAAAGGCAUCUGAAAUUUCUGAUGGAAAAUAUUUCCAUGGGAAAUCAUCAAAAGAAACUAAUCUCAGUAAAUUUCUGACAAAGUUUCGAGGAAAAAAUCUAUGUGUUAUUUACUGCUGUAAUUUCUGAUAGAUUUUUGACGAAACAUUUAAUUUGUCAUGAUGGAUUCUCAAUGGAUUUUAUAAUUUUUAUAGAGCUGUUUGAUAAGUUCCAAAUUCCCGAGGAUUUUUUUUGUUAUAUCGGGAAUCUGUCGAAAAUUACUCAAAUUUAUCUACAAAUACUUUUUUCCUCCCCAUUCAUUCACUUGUCAAAACAAAGCACAAAAAUCAUGUUUUCUCCUAUUUUUUUUUUUGUAAGGAUAAAUCUUAUAUGGAUUUGAAUAAAAACUUACUUACAGAUGAAUAUGCACAAGGUAUUAGCGAAUUCAUUGCAUUAACUCAACGGUAACCAGAAGAAACAACAACCGGUAAGUUGAAAUUAGAAAUGUUCAUGCUCUACUUGUAAGAAUAAUAAACAUAUUAAGAAUGCAGAAGUUUGGAAGGAUAUGUUUUUUUUUAAGUGGUUUGUGCCGGAUUACAAGAUUUGGUAACUUUAUAGAAAAUUAUCAGAUUAUGGUAGUACUAACAAAUUUCAUACUUCAGAUUGGUUAAAUGAACCUAGCACGGAUGUAUAUUUUGGUGUAAGUAUUUUUGAGAUAGAAAAUGGUGCAUUGAAGGAAAAUUUCUCGUCAACUUUAGAAGAAGGAGAUAGACGAGAAGAACCAAUUUAGAAGUUAUGAGGUUUUUUAUGUGUUAGAUGCAGCUACGCAUUCAUUGUACAAAAGAUGUAGAUAUGACCAUUAACCUUUAUCAUAUACAAGUAGAUUCAUGGUGAUAAAGACAUUAUAAUUUGGUUUAGGAAUGCGUGGAUGCAAUUUUUGAUUUUAUGAGAGAUAUUCUACCCGGGAAUAAUCGUGCACAUGGUUUAUACUUCGAAGUUUAGAAACUGGUAGCUGGUGUUAGUUUACUGUAUCAAGUGAUCAAAGUAUGCAUUGAUAAUUGAUUGAUUUACAUGAGAGCAGAUGAGGCCAGAAGAGAUGUAAAUUUUAUCAACAACUUCGUAUCAUGAGACAAGUGAAAGAGUUCCAGUUCCAUAUAAAUGAAUGUGCUAUUUUAUGUUGACAUCAAGGUUGAAAAGACUAUAUCAAUUAAAACAAACUAUAUGACCAAUGACAUGGCAUGCAGAGCAUUCAACAUAUUGUUAGAUUACACAUCCUUUAGAUGCUGAAGCUUAGAUAAAUUUCUAAUCAAAAUAUCCAUAAUGUGUUUAUGAGAGAAGAAAUGUCUAUCGCAGACUAUGUAUUGCUAGUUUCCGUGUGAAAAGCAAAAAAGGCAGUUUUCAUUGUGGCCAGUAAUUGUGACAACUUAUAAUAUACCACCAGAUUUGUACAUUCAACAAAAGUUUUUGUUCUUCUCCAUUUUUGUUUCUAUGCUAUAGCAUCUUAAGAGACCACUUGAUGGUUUUUUUCAGAUAGCCAUUGGUAUAUGAGUUAGAAUUACUAUGGAAGCACGUUUUUCUUACAUUCGAUGUUUCGUGCGAAGAAACUUUUCAUAUGCGAACAGUAUUUAUGUGGACAAUAUAUGAUUUUCCAUCAUAUGAUAUGUUAUAUGGAUGGACAUUGCAUAGAAGGAUAUCAUGUAUUUAUUUUCAAAAUAGCACAUAUUAUUUCCAAUUUCUGAUAAUCAUUUAUGCAAAUUUUUUCAUUGGAAAUUCGUCAAAAAUCGCCUGUCGAAAAUUUAUCAAGAUGUCUCGACAAAAAAAAUUAUAAAUGGUGGCCAUACAAAAAAAAUAAGCGAAAGAAGAGGAGGACCACAAAAUUAUGAUUUUACCUUUACUUAAUACGAAUAUAAAAUGAAUGAAUAGAGACUCAAACUGGUUAUUUACUUGUUUACAAUGCAACAUAUAUAUACUAUUAAAAGGGAAACAUUUUGAAAAAAAUCUACUUAUGCAAGGUUGUUAAACCUAUUUAUUUUCAGCCUAACCUUUUAUAUGCAACCAAAAUGCAUAAUUUAUAUUACCCUUCCACGGCAUAAUUUUCAGCACCCACCGGUUUAUAUCAACCAAAAAUUAAGUAUAAACAAUUACUUUUAUCAAAAUUAUGCGAUUGAUAUUUCAUACACACAUUUUAUCAAACGAGAUAAAAUGUUCCAAUACAAAAGGGCCAUAUCUCCAUAUCAUAUAUGUCUCAUCCCCCUCUAUUAAAGCAUCAAGUUCUUUGCAGAAAGGCAUCAAUGUGAUGUUUAAUAUUUUUUUUAUCAAAUAUUUUUUCCAUACACAUGUUAUUCAAUGAGAUCAAAUGAUUUUCAGCGGGGGCAUGUAUAAAGCAAUCUUAUAUUUCAUCUCGUCCAUUAGAGCAUCAAGUUCUUAAGAUCAAAACAAUUUUAGAAAGAUUUACGCCAUGAGUCACUUUUGUAGUUUACAAUUACACUAUAGGUCACUUGUCACUACUCACACACUUUUUUCUAACUAAAUCUACUUUUCACUCACUAACUAAAAAAGCUAAUAUUUUGAUAUCCAUUAUGCUAACUAAAAUAAAAUGGGUCCCAAAGAACUUUCUUCUUCGUCUUCUUCCUCCCAAAUUUAAUUUAUUUUUGUUAAAUCAAAUCUGAUUCUUCAAAAAAUUUGUUUAAAAAUCUUGGAUUUAAUUAUUAUUUCUACGAUUUGAUUUAUCUUUUGAGAUAUGUAAAGUUGCAUCUCUAAUGGUGGUGUAAUUGUGAUAUAUACCACGACGACGGCAGAGAUCCGUUCAAGCUUCAACCAUGGCGUCUUUGUUUUCUCGUGUCGCCGUGCUUUGUUAUUGCUCCGAAAUAGCCAGAGAAACUCAUGCAAGCUUGAUAUCCAACUCACUGUCGUCUUCCUCAUGGUGUCACACCCAUAACUCCGUCGCGUUCUCACUUGAAGUCAAUCCUCCGCAUCGUGUUCCAGUUUCUUCUUUCUAGGCGUGAUUCAUCAUCGCCAUGACCUCCGUUCCUCUCUGUCAUGCCCUUCAACCAUCAUGAAAAGCUCGAGAAAGACAAUGGCUACCUUUAGUGUUUUUGCACAUCUGGUCCCUUAAUUUUUAUAUUAUUUGAUUUUAACCUCAAUGCUUUUUAGAGAUGCAAAUUAACCCCAAUACUUGAAUCACUUAUUUUUCACAUGAAUCCCACCCACUCGUGUUUAUGAUAGACGAUUUUAGUUUGUAUUAGACUAUAUUGGCUGUUCAAAUUUUCAAAUGAAUGAUAAACUCUAUUCGGUGUACAAAUGAACCAGUGUACAUAGGAGUUUUUGUGAAAUGUUGUACAUGUGGAUAGUGAAACAUGUGUACACGUUGACGAUAUAAGCCAUUGAAUCGUUUUUUUGUGAAAUGUUGUACAUGUUUCUCGUUGUACAAAUGAACUAGUGUACAUGUUAAUAGUAUAAUAUUUUUGGCUUUGAUUAAAAAGCGAUUUCACAAUUUUUACUACAAUUUUUAUAGUGGAAUGUUUUAUCUAUCCAUUUAAUAAUUAAAGUGACAUAAUUAGUUGCAAAAUAAAUAUCUGUUAAUUUAACCCAAUAAAAAAAAUAAUGUUACAGUUUUAGCAUUUUAAAUUAAGAAGUAGAGGUAAAAACAAAUUUGUGGGAAAAUAUGAUUUUAGCGGUUUGACGGAAAAUUUGCAUUGGGGUUUCAAAAAAAAACACGCAUCGGGAUUUUAAAGGGUAAACAUGAUUUCAUGGUAUAUUUUUUUAUUAAUAUAUGAUGUACACAUGUACAUCUGUAAUUGUUGUACAAUGUGAAAAUGUGUACACGUGUAUUUACGUACACAAAUAUAUUAUCUAAUUAGACUAAUUAACAUCUAACUUCUUGAUUGUUUAUCCCAGCUCCUCCUAAUAAAUGGCCCUUCAUUUUUUAUUUCUGCUCAUAUUAACUGAUGUACAUGUGUAUCGAUGUACAUAAGAAUGGAAACAAAUUGUGUACAUAGUAUUAUAUACAUCAUAUGUGUGGAUACUGUAUACAUAUUACAUUUUAUAAUAAUUAAAUUUCCUUUUUAAAUCGAUAGUUUCGCUAACAAAAACUUCCCAAAAUUUUGAAAACAAAAAUUAAAACCAUGACAUUUUUUACCCCGGUGUACAUGAGAUUUUUUGUGAAAUGAUGGACAUUGCAAAUUGUAAAUGUAUCAAAAAAACUUAUUAGGUGUACAUGUGGAUUCUUGCACAUGUAUUUAAAACUUAUAUGGGGCUUAGUUUACAUUGCACAAUUAAAAGCUUUGGGGCUAAUUGUAAAGAAACUUGAAUAAAUUAGCAGUUUGAGACAAAUUUGAGAAUUAACAAGAAUGGAAAGACCAGAGGUGCAAAUAAUAUAAAUCUGCCAUUGUUGCUAAAAUCAAGCUUUGUCUUUGAUCUGCGACUAAAGCCUUGACGAUUCCGGCGACCAUGACUCCGGUCCCGAUCAUGACGACCACAACAAGGAUGAGAUGACUGUUUCUUGAGGCGGAUUGUAAUGGAGCUCUCCGGCUACUCCGUCACUUUUUCUCUCUGAUCUGUGACUGAAGCCACGACAAUUCCGGUGGACACACUCCAGUCCCGACCACGUGGAGAAAGAGAUGACUGCUCCGUCACUCAGAUUUGAGAAUUGAAGGUUGAUGAAGAUUACGAGGAGAAGGUGAUAGUUGGUGAAGUGAUGAGUAGAGGAUUAAAUAAUAUAGUGGGUCCUACUGGUUUUAUCCUAGUUAUGUUGUAGUUAGAAAAGAAAGAAAGUAGUUAAAGAAAGUGUCUAAGUAGCAUAAAAUGAUCUUGAAUGUAACAAAAAUUCAAAAAGUGACCUUGAAUGUAAAUCACUCACAAUUUUAUACAUUCAUUUUAUAUGUCAAAACAAUUUUAUACAUUCAUUUCUUUAUCAUCUUAUUCGAUUCAUAUUAAAAACUUAGUUAUAAGAAUUAAGAUUGUGUUUUUCGUUACAUUUGUUGAAUUACAAAUACAAAACCAAACCCUGCAACAGAAAUAAUAAACACACAGUUUAUACUUUAAUAUUGAGACUUUUUUGGAAUCCUAAAUAUAUGCAUGUUUUUAGAUUGUGUAUUAUACACGAUUUUGAAAAUUAUUGAUGUUGAUAUAUUUUUAUCUUAAUAGCUUUACAUAACUAUCGUCAAAUUUUAUAAAAAAUGAUAUCUAAAGAUUCUUUUAAGAUCUCUUAUUAGUAACAACCAAAAUGUUUAAAAAUUUAUACUCUAAUUUUCGAUGGCCUAUACCAUCUCACCCCUAAUAUUAUAAAUAGACCUUCAUUCUUUAAAAUUUAUAAGAUAUGUUAAUUAUUAUGUAUUAUAGAAGAAAUCAUGGUUGAUUCAUAAUAAAAAACUAUAACAAUAAUAAAAAUAAUCAAUACCAUUAAAAGAAGAUCAUCAAUGAAACCGAAUUAUACCUUUAAUAAAAUAUUAUUUUAAAGAGAGUUAAAUAAUCACUAAUGGCAAAACAAUCAUUACGUUUUUGGACUUAUAUAAGUAAAGACUAUAUAUUUAACUACACUUCGAAUUGGACUUAUGGGUUUAAAAAAUAUUAUUUACUAUGUCAUUUUAUACAUAAAAUUGAUAUAUCAAUUAUGAGUGUUUAAGAAUAUUUUAAAAAUUACCAUAAAAUUAAAUUUAAAAUUUAAAAUCAAAUUUAAAAUCUGAAAUAAAAAUAUAAACUUAUAAUAGAUUAUUAAUAACGAAAAUAAACUAAUAAUGUCAUAUCAAAGGUUUUUUACAUUAUCAUUUUUAUUUAGGUGACAUAAUAAAUUUUUAUCAAAAUCUAAGGAAUCACAAGUUUAAAUAAUAUUAAAAAGGUUAUGAAAAAUUUAAUCAAAAACUUUUAAAAAUAUUAUUAGAUAUUUGGUGUUUUCAUUGGAUCACUGAUAUCAGAUCGCGGGUUAAUAGCGAAUUUUUGGGUUUUACCGGGUUCUAUCAAAUUUUUAAUUAAAGAUUUUUUUCAUUAAAUCCAAACCAAGUUAUAUACAACGUACUGGGUCUACGGUUCGACAACGGAUAUGGGUCGGAUAUGAAAAAAAUUCUUGAAACUAAAGUUAUUAUAGAACAACUUUUAAAUUAUUUGUUUUCUUAUAAAUGAAAAAACAAACCCGCGUUUUUUAAGCGCGGGUCAAAAUCUAGUAUAUUAUUAAAAGAUAAUCAUCCCCAAAAAUAUACUUAAAAAAGUUGUUGCACCUAUUAGUAACUAAUUAUUAUUUUUGGUACUACCUUAUAUUUUUCUAACUAUAUCAUAAUAAAUGUUGUUAUUUGUUUUUUUUUUUAAUUUUUUGCCUUCUAAUACACACCUAAUCUUGAUAAAUCCGAUAUCCAAUAUCAAAGCAAAUUAAUUGAAAUCAGUGAGUUAUAAUUUGUGCUCGGUUUGGUAUAAUUAAUUUUGAAAUUAAUAUAUAUCUUUACCAACACGUUCUUAUAUCUUGCCUCAUUUACAGACAGUGUCACAUUAUAAUAUCGAAAACAUAAAUCUAUAUACACUGUCAUAUAGCAUAUAAUAAAAAUUCAUGUGUAUCACAUGUCACUGAUAUCCUAUCAAUCAUUCUACUCUAAACCCUUAUUCAAAGUCUAAAAAUUUACUAACUUUGUAAAGGAACCAUAAUACAUAUUGUAUUUUCAUAUAUAUUUUAUAGAACUCAAAGAUUAAGAUAUAAAGAACACUCUUCUUUAUUAAGCUUUAGAAAACUCACUCAAAAACUAAAGCUCUUAAUCACACAACUCAUGACUAAUGCAACCACAUAUAAAACUCUUUAUAUAGAACUAUAUAACUCCUAAUCCUAUUUGAAAAAAAUAUUUAGAUAUUUCCUUAAUCCUUUAGAUAACCAUAAGUUGGUAGGAUUAAGUUGACUUCCUCCUCAAGUCACUUCAAGCUUAUCCUAACAUUCUCCCCCUUAAGCUUGAACUCUUCUUCACUCACAUCUUGAACUCUAAUAAGACUUCUCAUUUCGUUGAAUUUGAUUCUUCCGAGAGGCUUGGUUAGUAUAUCGGCCUUCUGUUCGGUCCCAGGAACAUGUUCAACUUCAACUUGCACUACAAGAAAACGUAUCUUUACCGAGGAAGUUUAACGAGGAAAAAUAAUCCUCGUAAAGAAACGUUGAUUUUGCGAGGAAAGUACGUUGGGAAAGAAAAGCAUCGUUAUUUCGUCGUAAGGUAACGACAAAAAAUAUUCGUCGUAAAGACGAUGUAAAUUGACGUGGCUUUUACGAGGAAAUAGUUUUUCUUCGUAAAAGCCACGUAAAUUUCGCGAGUGCUUUACGACGAAAUAUUUUACGUGUACUUAACGAGGAAAUUUUGAAUCCACCAACUUGGUAGGUGGCUCACGUUUUUUUUUGGCCAUACAAUUAAUUUUCGUCGUAAUUUCAUAGUAAAAUUACAACUACCAGAUUCGAAAUUUUCUAUAAAUAUGGAUGUUGGAACAUCAUUUUAAACACACCAACAACAAAAAACGUGAAAGAAAAAAAAAUGGCUGGCUCUGGGACUAUUUACGAGUUGCGGAAUUGGAUGCAUAUACAUAGAGAUGCUAACGGGAGAGUGACGAAAGAAUACCUUGCGGGGCUGGAGACAUUUAUGCACCAAGCAGAUUCAACACCGCUCGCCCAAGAAAGUGGUAAGAUGUUCUGUCCUUGUCGGAAAUGCAACAAUUCGAAAUUGGCAAACCGUGAAAAUGUUUGGAAGCAUUUAAUAAAUAGAGGUUUCACGCCAAAUUACUAUAUCUGGUUUCAACAUGGGGAAGGUUAUAAUUAUGAUCAGAAUGAAGCUAGUAGUAGUAAUAGCAAUUUUCAGGAAGAACCGGUUAAUCAUCAUUUGCAUAAUGAACAUAGUUACCAUCAGGAGGAGAUGGUAGAUUAUGAUAGGGUUCAUGAUAUGGUAGCUGAUGCAUUCGUAGCUCAUGAUGAAGAUGAAGAACCUAAUAUAGAUGCAAAAAAGUUUUACGGAAUGUUAAACGCGGCGAAUCAACCACUUUACAGUGGUUGUAGAGAAGGUCUCUCUAAAUUGUCGUUGGCUGCUAGAAUGAUGAAUAUUAAAACUGAUCACAAUCUACCUGAAAGUUGCAUGAACGAAUGGGCGGACUUGUUUAAAGAGUAUUUGCCGGAAGACAAUGUGUCUGCUGAUUCUUAUUAUGAGAUUCAGAAAUUAGUUUAUAGUCUUGGGUUGCCUUCGGAGAUGAUAGAUGUCUGCAUCGACAACUGCAUUAUCUAUUGGGGAGAUGAUGAGAAGCUAGAAGUAUGUCGAUUCUGCAAGAAGCCACGAUUCAAACCGCAAGGACGGGGACGUAAUAGGGUACCGUACCAAAGGAUGUGGUACCUACCAAUUACAGACAGAUUGAAAAGAUUGUAUCAAUCAGAGCAGACUGCUGCAAAGAUGAGAUGGCAUGCCGAGCAUACUCAGACGGAUGGUGAGAUGACUCAUCCAUCAGAUGCAAGAGCCUGGAAACAUUUCAACAAAGUACAUCCGGAUUUUGCUAGCAAUAGCCGGAAUGUGUAUCUCGGAUUAUGCACAGAUGGAUUUAGUCCGUUCGGAAUGUCAGGGAGACAAUAUUCAUUGUGGCCAGUCUUUCUUACGCCAUACAACCUGCCACCGGAGAUGUGCAUGCAACGGGAGUUGCUAUUCUUGACGAUAUUGAUACCUGGUCCGAACCAUCCAAAAAGGUCCCUGGAUGUUUUCCUACAACCACUGAUAAAAGAGUUGAAGGAUUUGUGGUCAACAGGGGUGAGGACGUAUGACUGUUCAACGAAGACGAAUUUUACGAUGCGAGCUAUGCUUUUGUGGACCAUAAGUGACUUUCCUGCAUAUGGGAUGUUGUCUGGAUGGACUACACAUGGAAGAUUAGCUUGUCCAUAUUGUAAUGGAACGACAGAUGCGUUUCAACUGAAGAAUGGUAGGAAGACAAGUUGGUUUGAUUGUCAUCGUCGAUUUCUUCCCAUUGGCCAUCCUUACCGAAGAAACAAGAAUUUGUUUAGGCACAAAAGGGUUGUGAGAGACACUUCUCCACCAUAUCUAACUGGAGAACAAAUUGAAGCACAAAUCGACUACUACGGAGCUAACGAAACAGUUCGUUGGGGUGGUAAUUGGCAUGUCCCUCGUAAUAUGCCUGAUUCUUACGGUGUUCAUCACAACUGGCACAAGAAGAGUAUAUUUUGGGAGUUGCCAUAUUGGAAGGAUCUUCUUCUGCGACACAACCUCGAUGUGAUGCAUAUAGAGAAGAAUUUCUUUGAGAACAUCAUGAAUACAAUAUUGAAUGUCCCAGGGAAGACAAAAGACAACAUAAAAUCGAGGUUAGACUUGCCGGAUAUUUGCUCAAGAAGCGAGUUACAUAUUAAAAGCAAUGGACAAGUUCCUGUUCCGAUAUUCAGACUGUCUUCAGAAAAAAAGUCGGUGUUGUUCAACUGGGUGGCAUCAGAAGUGAAGUUCCCCGAUGGGUAUGUUUCAAGUCGUUUAGACCCGUCGUCUUCUUCAGCUCCCGGUUCUUCGGGUCAGGAGACUGUCCCCGAGACUCAGUACACUCAGAGAGUCAUUGGAUCUCCUUCUUCUAGUGCACCAUCGGUUCUUCACGUGCCUCCCCAGAUGCCUCCUCCUCCUGUGCCUCCUACGAUGCCGGCACCUCCGAUACCCGCGGGCGAGAUUCAUCCCGAUUUGAUGGUGCCUCCGAGUGCUCCUUACUCGCAGUACACCGUAGAGGACAUUCUCCGUCUACCAGGCAGAGAAGGUUUACCAGUCAUCGACCCCGACCGACCGGACGGAACUUUAUGGUAUGUUUCAUUAUUUUUUUAUUCUUUUUAAAUUCUUUUAUAACUUUAAAAAAUAAUUUAUAUUUUAAAUUUGUAUUUUUCAGGUGGGGGAUUGACAAUUGUCUUGCAUCGGACGUAACCGAUACGAUAAAAGGUUACUUCUCCAUGGCACAUCCGAACUGGAAAAUGACGCCCCACUACGUCAGAAAGACGUGGUUCAAAAUUUACGCUGUAAGUUCUAUUAAUUAAAUAUAUAUCUUUAAAUUUUUUUAUUAUUUAUAUAUAUAUUUUUUCUGAAAAACUAAUUAUAAAUUAUUUUUUCCAACAGCAAAAAUAUAAUUGGGCCUUGGGGAUCACUGAGAGGGUGAGAAAGAAGUUUGAAGCGAAGGCGAAAGUUCGCUUGUUGGACACGGUCUCCAACUGGAAGGGUGACUGGAUCGUGAAGGGGUAUGAGCGUGGCAAACCCGCUGAGCUCACCACGGAUGUCUGGGAUGGCCUCAUCCGAUAUUGGCGUCUUCCUGAUUCCAUUAGAAUCGCCCAGUCUUGCUCUAACUCCCGUAACACAGUCGAUGAGCACGGGAACGGGCCGAUGCUUCACACUACGGGCCAAAAACCCCACGCCGGUGUCCGUUUGGAAAUGGUAAUUAAAAAUUUAAUUAUAUUAAAUUUUUAGUAUAUUUUUAUAUAUAUUCUAAUUAACAACUUUCUUAAAUGUUUUUUUAGGCCAAAGAGACGGGAGAAUUCCCGUCUCUUAUGCAACUUUACGAGAGGACCCACAAGAACAAGGCGGGCCGAUUUAUAGAUGGCAAGUCCGAGCAAAUCUACAACGAUUUGGCUGCUCGGGUUGAAGAACGCCAGACCCAGCUGACCCAACAGUCCACCGAUGGAUUACCCGUCACCUUAUCCACACCUGAAGUGGAUAAGCUUUACGAGGAGGUAAAUUUUCUAAAAUUUUAAUUUUUUUAAAUAUUCAUUUAAUUUAACUUUAAAUUUUUACUAACAAAAUUUAUUUUUUGUUUUUAAGGUUGUCCCUAAAAAAAAGGGACGGACGUUGGGGAUUGGUUCCGUCAACGAUGUUCCGAGAGCGACAUCGUCUUAUGUUCAGCGACGGGAUGAGGAAGUCUCUCAGCUGCGUAGGGAGUCCGAAGAGCUGCGUAGAGAGUCUACUCAGCUGCGUAUAGAGUCUACUCAGCUGCGAUCUCGUAUGGGUGGACUCGAGGGCUUCUUGGACGUUGUAGCGGCCACAAAUCCGGAAUGGGCGACUUUGUUGAGGACCAUGCGACAACAAAAUCCUAUCCCAGGCCAGUCACCGACCGACGACUCACAUGCCGAGGCGGAUGUUCAGGCGAGGAGUGAUGAAUUCUACGAGGCGAUUAAUUAACGACCACCCUUAGUUCUUUUUAAUUUCGGUUAUUGUAUUAUGAAUUCAAAACUUAUUUAUAUAUAAAAUAUUUUGGUUUUGAUUUUUUUAGAAUUUUAAUUUUAUUAAUAAUUUAAAUAAUUUAAAUUAUAUUUAUAAUUAUUAUUUUUUAUAUUUCUAUAAAAUAAUGAAACGAAGUAAAUUCGUAGCUAAUUUUGCGGCUUCUUUACGUGGAAGCUUAACGUGGUUUUUACGAGGAAACAUUUACAUGGAAAUAACGUGGAAAUCUAUCAAGGUUUUUACGUUUUCUUUACGUGGAAAGCUCUCAAGGUCUUUACGUUAAUUUUACGAGUAUUUAUUUACGUGGGUUUUACGAGGAAAGCUUUUCGUGGUAUUUACGAGGAAACUUAGCGACGUCAUUACGUGGAAUCUUUACGUGGUCUUUACGACGAAAUAUCCUCCUUCGCUUUUACGACGAAAUUAUUUCCUCGCUAACUUACGACGAAUUAGCGAGGAUAUAUGCGUUACGACAAACGUAUAACGACGAAACGGGUUUCCUCGCUAAUUCGUCGUAACACUGCUUUUACGACGAAGUAACGAGGAAAACUGCCCUCGUAAAACUUGUGUUUUCUUGUAGUGUUGCUCGUUCUCGACACAUUCUCAUAUGAAGUGGAACCUUCUAUGACUAUGCUUACUUCUACCAUGAAACACAUGAUUAUUUGUGAGAGUGAUUGCAGAUUUAUUAUCAAGUCGUAUAGUCACCUUCUGGCAAUCCUUUCCAACGACUUCAGCCAGGAGUUCUUGGAGCCAAAUAGCCUGUUUAGCAGCCUUAGUUUCUGCCAUAAAUUCAGCCUCACAGGAUGUAGAGCAACAAUCUCUUGCUUCUGAGAACACCAAGUGAUAGGGUUUUUAUCAAGAUAGAAAACGUGCCCAGCGUGCUCUUGCCAUCAUCAUUAUCAACAUUGUGUGAGCUAUCACUAUAACCCACCAAAUCCGCAAUUCCUCCACCGGAAAACACAAGACCAAGAUCACAUGUUCCAUGUAAAUGCCUUAGGACUUGCUUCAGUGCCGCGCGGUGUGACUCUUUGGGCUCCUGCAUAUAUCUACUAAGUACUCCCACACUGAAUGAUAGGUCAGGCCGCGUAUGUAGUAAAUAACGUAGACACCCAAUUCCUCUCUUAAACUCGCCUUCAUCAAUAUUUCGUUCAUCGGGUGCUUUUGACAGAUUCACAUUCAAUUCCAUCGGCACAUGUGAUAGUUUGCAAGCGCUUAACCCGACCUCUUCAAGUAUAUUUCGUGCAUACCUCGCCUGUGUCAGCAUAAUUCCUCCUUUAUACUGAUGUACUUCUAUUCCCAGAUAAUAGGUUAACUGCCCGAGAUCACUCAUCUCGAACUUACUCUAGAUGUCCUUCUUAAACUCGUAUAUCAGCUCAAGCGAUGAUCCUGUAACCAGCAGAUCAUCUACAUACACCACGAGGUCCACGACAACAAGAAGACCUCCCUUAUCUUCUCUUCUGUAUAAUGAAGGCUCCUUAGAACACUUGUGAAACCUCAAACCACGAAGAAUACUGUUUAGUUUAGCAUUCCAUGCCCUAGGGGCUUGUUUCAAACCGUAAAGAGCUUUCCUCAGUUUAUGAAAUUUGUGUUCUUCUCCUGCGACGAUGAAAUCUUCUGGUUGAGCAACAAAUACAUCUUCUCUUAAUUUCCCAUGAAGAAACGCGGUUUUAACAUCAAGAUGAUGUACUUCCCAUGACUUAAAAGCUGCAAGCGCAAUGAUCAAGCGGAUUGUCUCAACACGAGCUACCGGAGCGAAUACUUCAUCAUAGUCAAUGCUGUGUUUUUGAACAUAUUCUUUUUCUACUAACCGCGCUUUGUAUUUGCUGAUGCUACCGUCUGCGUUUCUUUUUAUUUUGAAUAUCCACUUGAGACCAAUAGGUUUUACGCUUGUGGGCAGCUCGACGAGGUCCCAAGUUUUAUUCUUUUCGAUUGACCCAAAACUUUAUUUCUUUAGCUUCGUUGAAAUCUCAAGGUUCGUCAUUGAUGAUCAUCAACAAUCGUUCACCCUCUGCUUCUGUGACCAAUACAUAGUCAUUAAGAUACAUAGGUUUUGUAGUGACUCUGUUCGAUUGUCUUAGUUGGGGUUGUGCUUCAUCUUCUAGUUCAUGAUAAUCGCCACUAUCUUCUUUUUGAUCGUUACCAUCGUUAUGAAGUUGAUCAUCUCCGAUAUCUACAUCAUUCUAGGUGAUAGCAGAAGAACUACCGCUAUUGCUUGAACCUCUUAACGCAACUGUAAACUCUCCUUUCUGAUCAUGUCUUACAUUCGUCACGGGAUCACUCCAAUUCCAUUCUUUUUCUUCGAGGAAGAGAACGUCCCGACUAACCAUGAUCCGUUUGCUUACUGGAUCCAAUAAACGAUAUGCCUUGGAACCAGGUUCCGUUCCUAGGUGCACCAGUGCCCUUGGUCUAUCAUCAAGCUUAUUUCUCCCUACAGCUUCUGUUCUCGCAUAACACACGCAUCCAAACACUUUUAAGUGUUUAAGGUUUGGAUUUCGACUUCUUAAGGCUUCGUAAGGAGUCAUCCCUUCAAGUGACCUAGUCGCAACCCUAUUGAUCAGGUAAGUGGCGUGUCGAGUCGCUUCUCCCCACAGAUAAUUUGGUAGGCUCAUGUGUUUUAGGAAGCUUCUCAUCAUCUCCAAUAAAGUUCGGUUUCGUCGUUCCACCACCUCAUUCUGCUGAGGAGAAUAAGGUACAGUUAAGUGUCUUUUUAUGACGUUUUUAUCACAAUAAUCUUGGAACUCGUGAGAUAUGAAUUCACCGCUCCUAUCCGUCUUGAAAGUUUUGAUCUCGGUUUCAGUUUCUUGUUCAGCAAUCACCUUGAAUCUUUUGAAUUUUUCAAAAGCCUCACUCUUUUCUUUAAUCAAGAUUGUCCACAUAUAGCGUGAGUAGUCAGAGAACAAAUACAUAUUUCUUAUGUGAUGGUGUGGAGGGUGUAAUAGGUCUGCACAAGUCGUUCAAAUGUGUAAUAACAUUGUUCAACUUUUUUAAAGGAAAAAACAAAUUGCAACUAAUUUUACUUCCAAAAUUUAAUGUAAUUAAUUUUACUUCCAAAAUUCAAAUAUAUUGUACAUUUAGUACACAUAUGAGUUAUACAGUACACCUUAUUAUUAUUUUUUGCAUAAAAGUUUAUCAUAUUGUACAUUUAGUACACAUAUGACUAUAUGAGUUAUACAAUACACCAAAUCUUCUAUUCAAGAUUUUAACAAUGCAACUUUAAAAUAUAUAGCUUAGUUUCGUGUUGUCUAGUGAAAAAAAAACAUAAUAAAAUUAUGUAUCAAUUUUAUUGGCAAAGCCAAACAAUUAGAGUGUAGUGGGGUAAUCAUAGUUUAGGUUUCUUGUUCCAUGAAACAAAGUGCAUGUGUUAGAGAGAAGUAAGAGAGAGACAUCUCUGAUAAUACCGCAGUCUUCUUGAACAAACAACUAGCUCACCAAUCACAACUCUGAUUUUAUUCUCUUUGUUCGCUUAAAGCCUGCCUCUUUAGCUCUAUUGAAUCUUUGAUAUUCUUUGGAUCUUUAUUUGAUCAUAUCAUUUCCGACUAAUUAAGUAUAUAAUAUGCCAGUCCACAUUCUGAGGUACGCCACAAGAAAAGGAGAAAUGGAUGAAAAUAUUAUGCGACAGUUUUGUUUUUGUUAAAUCUACGAUAUUACAGAGUUUAUCUAUUUAUAUGCACACAUCUAUUUCAGUAGAACAAAUUAUUCAGGAGUUCACCUUACGCUAAGCCAUUUUGCUUUCAAGUUAAGUUUUUUCUAGGCUUCUUGUUGAUAUAUACUAUUAUUCUUAUCUUGGCAAAAACAUCAUCUGCUUUAGGAGAGGAACAAACGAAGUAUAUAACCCAAAAUAGGGGAAAGAGAAUAAAGAAAAAGAAGUAGCAAUUGAGUGUUUGGUGUAUCCAGUUGUUUUGUACCUUUCUGAUUUUUGCUUUAAAAAUAUUUUGAGUUAGAGUUUGCUUCUUUGACUGAUCAACUGAAUCUCUCGCUCCCCAAGCCAAAGAAAGAACACAAGAUGUUGCUUUUGAUCAUUGCCAAGAAUUUCACUUCGCAAUUCCCUUUAUCUUUACACUUUUUUUUUCAUUCCUAGCUUAAACAGUACUAGUUCUCCUUAUUUCUAACAUACAAAAGCUCAUAUUUAGUCUUUAUAUUAAAGAAGGCUCAGUAUUUGGUUCUAGUUUCCAGUUCCGAGAGUAGAAAAUGACACUUUUAUAAAACGACAAACAAGUCUCGAUAUUGCUAUUUUCAAGAUGUGCAACUAGAGCAUUUGAAAAUGGUUCCAUUUCUAUUCUCUUAAGAAAUGUAAUUAAUUUUUAAUAAAUAUAUAAAUUGGGUCUUUGGAUAUUUUCUUGAGAUAGCUUUGAAUACAUCAAAUAUACACAUACUUAUAAGAAAUAUGCAAAUGCCUUCGAAUAACUUAGACAUUUCAGUACAAAGUUUCACACGAUCUGAAAUUAUCUAUGUACCAAAAACACAAAAUUCAAGAGCGGAUAGCAUAGCACAUAGUGUCAGGAAGUAACCGUCGUUUGUCGUUCACAUGGAUUAAGAUCUUCCGGAGUGGUUCAUAGAGUCAGUAUGAGUCUGUAGUUGAUGAUAAAAAAAAUAACUCGUCACUUCAGUGAUUUUUAUAAAUUAAAUAACUAUUAGUAUAAUUAUACAUGGUAUUUCACAGAAGAUAUAAACUGUAUGCAAAUGAAUCACAUAUUUCGAGUUGGAUUUGUGUAAGAAAUAUUGUAAUAAACCAUCAAUCUUAAGAUUUUAAAAUGUCAUUUUAGAAUUAACUAAAUUGGGUUACAAUUCAAUACUGUUUUCCACCUUUUGUUUUCUGACCAACUGUAAAAUUCAUAUAAGUAGUAUUAGCUAUAUUUGAGUUCAAAUGGUUCUAAUUAGUAAAAUUAAUUGAACAUAAUUGAAUAUAAUAAUUUAUUUUCCAAAAUAUUGUCACAAUUUUAGCUUUUUAGUGGAUUAGUUGAUUCUUAUAAAAAAAAUUUCAACUCAAAUGGUGAUCUCAAAUAUUACAGGAACGGUUAGUUCAACUAAUUUUUGUUCAAUAUAUAAAAUAAAAAUCGAAAAUUCGUAAUUCUACUAAUUUUUAUCCCUCUAAGAAUACAACCAUUUGAACUCUUCCAUUUGGAAAAAAAAUAAAAAAAGCUCUUCCAUUUGAACUCUUUCAUUGGUUUAGAUGUCCGCGGAAAGAUUGAGUCGGAUGAUUAAAAAGAGCAAUGAGUGAAAGGAGCUUCGUAAUCGGAGAGAGACCAAUUCCUUAGAAGACCGUGACACUGUCAUUCACGUGGGCCUCUUUUGACCAACUCUCCCGACACUAUAUCUACUGGUGGCAUUAAAUAUUAAACUUGGAAUUCUUUAACUUCAUUCAAAUUUCACUGUAUCUUGCUUAAGAAUGUUUAAACUUUUAUAGUUUGCGUUUUGUCACUUUUAUUUGAAACAAACAUAAAAGGAAACAACUCAUUCAAUAAAUUAUAUACAAGUAAAACUUGUUUCCUAAAAAAUAAAAAUAAAAAAUUUGUUUCCUAAGACCAUCUCCAACCCAUUCCUAUUUUUAUCUCUAUAUUUUUCCUUAAAAUAGAAAAACUCUAUUAUAAAUGUGAAAAUGUUCCAAUGUAUGCCUCUAUUUAUAGGAAAAAAUAUAGAGAUAUGCUAUUUUCACCUCUAAAUAUAGAGAUAAAAGUAACUUUCCUCUAUAUUUUCCUUUAAAAUAGAGGAAUUCUAUUAUAGAGUCAUACAUUAGAGUAUUUUUUUUCCUCUAUAAUAGAGAUCUAUAUUUUAGAGAAAAUUAUAGAGGUGUGUAUUGGAGAUGCUCUAAGGUAUUCAAUAAAACUGAAAUGACACAAAUUUUUUAGAUGCUCUAAUUAUUUUGAUAUUUUUUUUUUGAAGAAAUAAAAGGUUAAACCCGGGUCUAUUAAAGAUACAUACCUAAUCUCCGGGUGGGAGGUGCAGCCCACGACAUACCAUCUCCCGGGUUUUCAUAUGGACGUAUCCGCAGUUGUGGUAAGCAGAACAAUGUGACUUAGUUUCCGCAGUAGGAGGAUCGAACCAGGAAUGUAUUUGCAUCCAAGGUCCGUCCACUACCACAGGAUCACAAGGCCCGCUCAAUUAUUUUGAUAUUGAUAUAAAAGUUAUUUGUUUGUGUUGAGGAAAAAAAUCUUACAUAUUUGUUCAGGUUUCAGAUGUUCAUUCAUAAGCAUAAAAUUCCAACAUCGAUUGUUGAAAAAUAGUGAAAUAAAAUAAAAGAAUAAUUUAUUCAUUUUAAUUGUUUUUUGAAAAUAUUUUUAAUUGGUUUUGAGUUAGAAGUUGAUGAUAAACAAAAACUUAACAGUUUGUACCCCAAGAAUGUUAAACUGUUUUGCUGUAAAUAAAAGGUAAGAGUGUUAAACAAAACAUGUAUCUAGUUUUGAAUAUAAGAACUGAAAAAGUGGUGCUCCCACUACUUAACCCGUAGUAUAUUGUUAUUGCUGGAGAGCUUGAGAUUAACUAGUAACCACUGUAGCAUAUUGGCCGCGUGGAAAACAGAGUUACGAAUAAUUUGUUCCGUACCCAAAAGGGCAAGAACUCGAUUAAAAAAAUAUUGAGUUGAUUAGCCCUUGAGAAUAUCCAUUGUAGAAGUGUUGCUUUCUUUAGAUAAAGUAACAAAUAUGUAAUCGUCACUACAAUAGAUUCGAUCAUACCAAUCCCUUUUGUCGUUAAGUUUCCAAAGGGUAUCUAUAUAUAGGUAGCCAUGUCACAGUUUGUACCUUAUACUUACUCACAAAGCAACCAGAAAAAAAAACACACACAUCUCUAAUUUUCUCGCACCCAAAACCUCUAUUUCAUGAUGGGAUACCAAACAAACCCUAAUUUCUCCAUGUUUUUUUCCUUGGAAAAUGACGACCAAAACAAUCAAGAUUAUAAUUCUUAUAACAGUCUCUCUUCAUCAACUUCUGUUGAUUGCACUCUUUCACUUGGAACACCGUCCACUCGUCUAGACGACCACCGCAGAUAUUCUUCCGUUAGUUCUAACAUGUCCGGUGAUUACUUCUAUCACGGAGGAAGCGCUAAAACGACGUCGUACAAGAAGGGCG
RNAcentral lists this long non-coding RNA (33480 nucleotides) under Brassica rapa (field mustard). RNAcentral's name for it is "long non-coding RNA (BRAP_LNC004836)". The record is from RNAcentral. Lineage: Eukaryota; Viridiplantae; Streptophyta; Magnoliopsida; Brassicales; Brassicaceae.